RNAcentral lists this small nucleolar RNA (132 nucleotides) under Chinchilla lanigera (long-tailed chinchilla). RNAcentral describes it as "Small nucleolar RNA SNORA72 (ENSCLAG00000018915.1)". It matches the Rfam family "Small nucleolar RNA SNORA72". Rfam says of the family: U72 is a member of the H/ACA class of snoRNAs. The snoRNA gene is located in intron 4 of the ribosomal L30 protein gene in human, mouse and chicken. The record is from Rfam by way of RNAcentral. Lineage: Eukaryota; Metazoa; Chordata; Mammalia; Rodentia; Chinchillidae.
UCACAAAUAUUCUCAUUGUUCUGCUUGUGUCAUAAUCAGGGAAGACUAAACAUUUGCUAUAGUAAGAUCAUGCAUGUGUCCCCAGACCUAGAUCUUUCCCUAGGUCUGGUUUUAUAAAUGCUGGUGAUAAAC